GGAGUGGCAUAGUCGUGUUCUAC
RNAcentral lists this non-coding RNA (23 nucleotides) under Arabidopsis thaliana (thale cress). The record is from RNAcentral. Lineage: Eukaryota; Viridiplantae; Streptophyta; Magnoliopsida; Brassicales; Brassicaceae.